AGUCAUAUGCUUGUCUCAAAGACUAAGCCAUGCAUGUCUAAGUAUAAAUGUUAUACAGUGAAACUGCGAAUGGCUCAUUAAAACAGUUAUAGUUUAUUUGAUAAUCAAACUUACAUGGAUAACCGUGGUAAUUCUAGAGCUAAUACAUGCUGUUAAGCCUGACUUCUAGGAAGGGCUGUAUUUAUUAGAUAACAAACCAAUAUUCCCCGUGUCUAUUGUGACGACUCAUAAUAACUGAUCGAAUCGCAUGGACUUUGUCCGCGAUACAUCAUUCAAGUUUCUGCCCCAUCAGCUUUCGAUGGUAGUGUAUUGGACUACCAUGGCUUUAACGGGUAACGGAGGAUUAGGGUUCGAUUCCGGAGAGGGAGCCUGAGAAACGGCUACCACAUCUAAGGAAGGCAGCAGGCGCGUAAAUUACCCAAUCCUGACUCAGGGAGGUAGUGACAAGAAAUAACGGACCGAAGCCUAUGUUUCGGGAUUGCAAUGAGUAGAAUUUAAACCCCUUUACGAGGAUCAAU
RNAcentral lists this ribosomal RNA (518 nucleotides) under uncultured eukaryote. RNAcentral's name for it is "SSU rRNA". It matches the Rfam family "Eukaryotic small subunit ribosomal RNA", at positions 22 to 548 of the family's 1831-position model. The record is from RNAcentral.